UACACUCCUACGGGAGGCAGCAGUGGGGAAUUUUGGACAAUGGGCGAAAGCCUGAUCCAGCCAUGCCGCGUGCAGGAUGAAGGCCUUCGGGUUGUAAACUGCUUUUGUACGGAACGAAACGGCCUUUUCUAAUAAAGAGGGCUAAUGACGGUACCGUAAGAAUAAGCACCGGCUAACUACGUGCCAGCAGCCGCGGUAAUACGUAGGGUGCAAGCGUUAAUCGGAAUUACUGGGCGUAAAGCGUGCGCAGGCGGUUAUGUAAGACAGUUGUGAAAUCCCCGGGCUCAACCUGGGAACUGCAUCUGUGACUGCAUAGCUAGAGUACGGUAGAGGGGGAUGGAAUUCCGCGUGUAGCAGUGAAAUGCGUAGAUAUGCGGAGGAACACCGAUGGCGAAGGCAAUCCCCUGGACCUGUACUGACGCUCAUGCACGAAAGCGUGGGGAGCAAACAGGAUUAGAAACCCUAGUAGUCCCAUGAU
RNAcentral lists this ribosomal RNA (478 nucleotides) under uncultured organism. RNAcentral's name for it is "partial 16S ribosomal RNA". It matches the Rfam family "Bacterial small subunit ribosomal RNA", at positions 332 to 801 of the family's 1533-position model. The record is from RNAcentral.